CACACGUAUAUAUAUGUGUCUACACACACAUAUGUAUGUAUGUAUGUAUGUAUGUAUGUAUGUAUGAAUGAAUGAAUGAAUGAAUGAAUGAAUGAACUCAGGGAUGGGUACCCAUAUGAAGAAGUUUGUGGUCUUGGUUCUGAUGAGUGUUUCCUUCUCCUUUUUACCCUCCCAAGUUGGUGAUGCCUGCACUUUCUUUUCUCUGCUAUCAUUUUGUCCAUUUUUAUUUGUGGUCACAAGUUUAGCAUUUAUGAACAAGGUAUUUGGAACCAUGAAAAAAUCUGGUAAUUUUGUCAAAAAGUUUAGAAAUAGUUCAAAUAACCAAAAAUCAGGAUUUUUUUUUUUUGACGAAAAAAAAUCAGGAAUAUUAUAACAAAACUAAAAAUAUAAGUUUGUUGUCUCUGUGUUUGUUCCUUUUGUCAAUAAAUUAGUGAAAUACCAGAUGGAGGUUUUAUUUGAAGAUAGAAUUUUUAAUGACAGGCACCUUUCUUUGGUUCAGUGAUCGCCAUCUUCUCUUCUCUGCAUGUCCUUUCUAAUGAUAGGCACAGUGACUCCAGAUGGUCUGCUGUUCUUCAGGCAACUGCGUUGCAACUAUUGUUAGAUGGAAAAUGCUGUGCAACCCCAAUUUGGUCUAUAAACUGAGGGGGACCCAUACGUUCCUCAAAUCUUUGACCAGAUGAUAAGGCAUUUCUUUUGCAUUUGUUUGUUGAUGGCACCAAUCCUCUCUUGCGGGAGAAAGAUUCUAAAAUGCCUAACCUUAUCUCCAAAACUUUUCUGUUUUAAUGUUCCUGUGAGGUCCUGCUUGUCUUACAUUGGGUAUGCACUGGGAGGUCUUAAAAGCAGGGUCAAGAACCUUCUGUCUAGCCCAAUUUUUGUGAGCUCUUGGGUCAUUAUAAAUGAUAUUAGAGCUAACCUGGGGUUGUGAUAUUUGUGAUUUUGAGGUCUUAAGCAAGGGCAAUGACUCCAAUUGCCAAUGCAAGAUGUAUCCGAAGAUCAUUUGUUCCUUUGUUGCAGGGGGUAUCUAUUUUUUCUUGUUCUAGUGGCAGAGCAAGCUUUGAUGGUCUGCUUUUCCAUGGGCAACCGCUUGCAGCUGCUGGCUAGUUGAGGCACAAAAGAACUUGCAAUGCCUUAUUUUGUAGAGGCAUAUCUGAGCCUCCUCUUCCCUUGUUUACUUUGUUAAAUCUGUGCUUUAAGUAUUGUUUUUCAGUUUUUAAUUUACCUUUGUUUCACUCUUGUUCCUGUAAAACACUUGGUUUGUUCUUGAAGUCCCUCAAGAACCUAAAUUUUAUCGUGAUGGAUGAAGGCAUGGGGACAUAUAUAUUGCAUUGCUAGAAGCCAGGUUCUAGAAUCCCUAAUGUGUACUAUUAGCUCCACCAGGCUGGGAGACUAUAUCAAGAAAACUACACAGUCCAUUUAAAUGUUACCUUGGCAUCAAGUGAAACGCUGGAUACUCCCUUGGUUAGACAUUUUCUGUGAAUCCAUCCAAAAUUUAAUGGCAUGCGAACUUGAAUGAUAACAUCAAAAGGUAUUUCCCAUGGUUAGAGUCAGUUUUUGAUCUAGGCUUUACCCCUUUUGAAACUAGGGCUGGCAGACGAGCAAGCCAUUGGCAAGGUUAGCUUAAGUUUGGCUUGAAAUUUUGUUAAAUUUCUCUUGCUUGGUUGAGAAACGAGCCAAGCGGAGGGAAGCUUAGCUCGUUCGAGCUCCGCUUUUAUGAGCUGGAAAUGCUAGUGUAUAAAUGAUUUAUUUUAUAUUAUUUAAUUAUAAUUAUAUAAAGUAAUUGUCUUAGUAAUUAAUUUAAUAUAGAUUAUCUAUAAUAGAAUUUAUUCUGACUAUAAGAUUAAAAUAUAAUUGAAAUGAUUGUUCUAAGUUAUAUAUAUACACACACAUACACAUAUGCAUGCACAUAUGUUGGAAGUUUCAAAUAAUCUUAAGCUCUCACUAGUCCUUUAAGCAAGCUGUUCAUGAAGCGCUUGAGCUUGGUUCGAUUAUAAAAUAAGUGGGGUAGAGCCAGGCUUGGCUUUGCUCAUGUCUGGUUCAUUUCCGCCCCUACUUACAUAUAUCUGCAGAGUAUGCCCUUUUGCUUUCCCAUUGGUUCACUCAGCCUUGUUGGUAUGAAUAGAUGUGUGUAUUGUGGAAAAAUAUAUGCAUGAGCUGUGGUUCUCCAAUCCAUUCCCUGCCAAACAGAUAUUUUGCAAAAAUAUAUUGUUUUGUUCAUAAAUAUUUUCUUUUGCACUUCUUCACCAAUAGCUGCUAGGUUCAAGAAAAUCAAAUACUCAUUAUCCUAUUCUGGCUGGUAGAGAUUUGGAAAUUCUUUUGAUUAUUAUUAAGGAAUAUGGAAACCACGUCAGUGCUGUAAUGCUUUCAGAGCUUAUUUUCUGAUGCCUUUUUCAAGAAUUUUAAGCUACCAUGUAGGUAAUGGUUGCAAAUUCAUGUGGAUGAGUACCCAUACAAUAAUUUUUUCUGGUGCUGUCUCUGAGCAAGUUUGACUAUCACCUUACUCUCCAAAUUUGGUGAUGCUAAUUGUUUUAAUGAAAAUUCUGCCGCUACUGCAUCUAUUUGACGCAUGGCAUCACUCUCAACCCUUUUUUCUAGUAAAACCUUUUUUUUUUGUUCAAUUUUUUCCUCAACUAGUGAAUCUCUUAGCUGUGCUCUGAUUGCUGAGAUGAUUAAAAAGAAUGUUCAGAUUUUCACAAACUUUAUAAAUUAAUUUAGUUUUUCUGCACUAUGCAAGAAGACGGCAGUGCUCGCCUCCAAAAUGGGGCAAUCCAACAUGUUGUCCAAAAUCAAGGAGAAUAGGGGAUUUCAUAUUCAAAGUAGAGGAAAAGAAGUAUGUUGCUUUGCCUGAAAGUGGGAGAUGAGGCAGGGAAUCACUAUAUCUAACUUUUUCUUUCUUUGAUGUGCAUUUGUCUCAUUAUUUUCUGCAGGAUUAAUCACUUACUAAUUUUUCCUGAUUUGUUGUAACCCAAAUCUCCUAUGUUAAUAGGACAGUCAUAUUCUGGCAAUGUAGCAUUAGGUACUUCAUGUCUCUGGCAAUUUGUUAUGUCAUUAUUUUUUUGGGUAAAAAAUGUUUGUCAUAAACUGGCUCUCAAGUUUUAGUUGAGGUGGUUGUUGCUUUCCUCUAUGGUAUAUGGCAUCUAUGGAUCUUUCUUUUAAGCCUUACUAUUCUGGCAUUAUAUACAGAUUUGUUGGAAUGUUUGAACAAAUUUCAUGGAAUUUGCAAGAUCUGGCACAUGAAAAAUGAAACCGGUCCAUACUCUAGUAUUUUCUUUUACCCUAAUUUCUAUGAAUUCAAAUUUUUAUACUAAUGAAUGUGAUGUGAAGCUAAAACUAGAAGACUAGAUGGUCGGAAAUGCCAUCUCCAAAAGCAUUCAUUGGUUAAAAACAGGACAUGGUCAUAGGAAUCAUGAGGCUGGAUUGUUCCCUACGUUAUAUAGGAGCUUCACUUGAACAAAGUCUUGGACUACAUAUUUUGAUGGAGUAUAUGAUGUAGACAAAUGAGAUAUGGCUUGAAGACAAAAAGAAUGCAAUGGGAGAUGAGGUUGAAAAAGCAUCUUGGGGUAAGGAUAUUGCAGGACUAGCGCGAGAUGAUUGGAAGAGACAGAUGUCUGUACAUCAAGAUGUCCUCACAGCAGUCAUGCUAUUUCUAUCUUAUUCAAGCACAAUAUUAUGAUUUUUAGAGUAAAGAUUGUUAACAAAUAAAUUUAUUUCAUGUGAAAUGUAUUUAAAGUGAUUUUUUUUUUGCUCCUUUCUAUGAAAUUCCAAGCACUGGAAGUUAUGAUAUUAUCCAUUGACCGGAAAUUGCAGCAAACAUGCUUGAUUGCUUGUUGAUGUAUCAAAUUACGAUAUAAAAA
This is a long non-coding RNA of Elaeis guineensis (African oil palm), 3851 nucleotides long. RefSeq lists it as uncharacterized. Lineage: Eukaryota; Viridiplantae; Streptophyta; Magnoliopsida; Arecales; Arecaceae. The record is from RefSeq and is a predicted model, not a curated record.